AUUGCUUCUCAGCCCUUUGGCUAAGACCUAAUGCAGUGUUUGUUCUCACCAGUUUACCGUCUGAUAUAUCCUCUAUCUGAGGACAAUAUAUUGAAUGGAUUUUGAAGCAGGGAGACUACGAAUUUCAACCUGGUACUGCAGUACCUCCAGGAAUGCAGCAUGUCCC
RNAcentral lists this small nuclear RNA (166 nucleotides) under Nannospalax galili (Upper Galilee mountains blind mole rat). RNAcentral describes it as "U2 spliceosomal RNA (ENSNGAG00000005580.1)". It matches the Rfam family "U2 spliceosomal RNA". Rfam says of the family: U2 is a small nuclear RNA (snRNA) component of the spliceosome (involved in pre-mRNA splicing). Complementary binding between U2 snRNA (in an area lying towards the 5' end but 3' to hairpin I) and the branchpoint sequence (BPS) of the intron results the bulging out of an unpaired adenosine, on the BPS, which initiates a nucleophilic attack at the intronic 5' splice site, thus starting the first of two transesterification reactions that mediate splicing. The record is from Rfam by way of RNAcentral. Lineage: Eukaryota; Metazoa; Chordata; Mammalia; Rodentia; Spalacidae.